RNAcentral lists this ribosomal RNA (484 nucleotides) under uncultured bacterium. RNAcentral describes it as "partial 16S ribosomal RNA". It matches the Rfam family "Bacterial small subunit ribosomal RNA", at positions 30 to 507 of the family's 1533-position model. The record is from RNAcentral.
AUUGAACGCUGGCGGCAGGCCUAACACAUGCAAGUCGAGCGGACGAAGGGAGCUUGCUCCUGGAUUCAGCGGCGGACGGGCGAGUAAUGCCUAGGAAUCUGCCCGGUAGUGGGGGAUAACGUCCGGAAACGGGCGCUAAUACCGCACACGUCCUGAGGGAGAAAGUGGGGGAUCUUCGGACCUCACGCUAUCAGAUGAGCCUAGGUCGUAUUAGCUAGUUGGUGGGGUAAAGGCCUACCAAGGCGACGAUCCGUAGCUGGUCUGAGAGGAUGAUCAGUCACACUGGAACUGAGACACGGUCCAGACUCCUACGGGAGGCAGCAGUGGGGAAUAUUGGACAAUGGGCGAAAGCCUGAUCCAGCCAUGCCGCGUGUGUGAAGAAGGUCUUCGGAUUGUAAAGCACUUUAAGUUGGGAGGAAGGGCAGUAAGUUAAUACCUUGCUGUUUUGACGUUACCAACAGAAUAAGCACCGGCUAACUUCGUG